UACGUAGGCAGCGAGCGUUGUUCGGAAUUACUGGGCGUAAAGAGUGUGUAGGCGGUGUUCCAAGUUCGGUGUGAAAUCUCCCGCUUAACUGGGAGGGUGCGCCGAAAACUGGAAUGCUCGAGCGUGGGAGAGGAAAGCGGAAGUUCCUGGUGUAGCGGUGAAAUGCGUAGAUAUCAGGAGGAACACCAGCGGUGUAGACGGCUUUCUGGACCAUUGCUGACGCUGAGACACGAAAGCGUGGGGAGCAAACAGG
This 253-nucleotide ribosomal RNA is filed under the name uncultured bacterium. RNAcentral describes it as "partial 16S ribosomal RNA". It matches the Rfam family "Bacterial small subunit ribosomal RNA", at positions 524 to 776 of the family's 1533-position model. The record is from RNAcentral.